Molecule: long non-coding RNA, 602 nt
Filed under: Homo sapiens (human)
Lineage: Eukaryota; Metazoa; Chordata; Mammalia; Primates; Hominidae
Description: non-protein coding BCAR4:19
Source: RNAcentral
AGUUAGUGCUGGGAAACAGUGCUAAGAAGGAUACAGUGGCUAGAAGUCGUCCUGUCGUCCUGCCUCACAGUAACAUCGUUACCGAAUUCUCAGCAGGUGAACCAAAUGAAAUGGUCAACUGAAAGCCAACCAGGCAAAAAAUCACCAUGUACCAACCUAUCCAAACUUAUCCAUGGAUGAAUCUAUCCAGAAGACGGGAGUUCCGAUGCUUGUCUUGCUCUGAAUGUCUGCUUGUCACCUGCUUAGGGUUAUCGACUGUGAUUCUGGGACUCAUUGUUGUUCUACAGGACCCCUCUGACUCUGUGGUUUUCUCUACUGGAUUAACAAUGAUAGCCAUAGGUGCUUUUUUUGUUGUCCUCACUGGAGUGACAGCCCUGUGUACGGUUACAGUCGACGAGAACUUGCAGAAAACCACGAGGCUAAGACUAGGAGUGAUACGAAAAAGCGGAAGUCUCCAAGGAACUACAGAGCCUUCCAUGACUCACUCAAUAAUCGCUAGCACCUCGCUGUAGUUGUACAUUGAACCCUGGCAUCUUCGUCUUUGGAACUAAGUCUCCUGAGCAUUGUUUUUAAAUAGAAAUAAAAUCUGGCUUUUAAAAAAA